This 253-nucleotide ribosomal RNA is filed under the name uncultured bacterium. RNAcentral's name for it is "partial 16S ribosomal RNA". It matches the Rfam family "Bacterial small subunit ribosomal RNA", at positions 524 to 776 of the family's 1533-position model. The record is from RNAcentral.
UACGGAGGGAGCUAGCGUUGUUCGGAAUUACUGGGCGUAAAGCGUACGUAGGCGGUUAUUCAAGUCAGGGGUGAAAGCCUGGAGCUCAACUCCAGAACUGCCCUUGAAACUGGGAAGCUAGAAUCUUGGAGAGGCGAGUGGAAUUCCGAGUGUAGAGGUGAAAUUCGUAGAUAUUCGGAAGAACACCAGUGGCGAAGGCGACUGACUGGACAUGUAUUGACGCUGAGGUGCGAAAGCGUGGGGAGCAAACAGG